GGAUUAUUAAGGACAAGAUCAGAAUCCACCCCAUGGAUAAAUGAAAGCAGAGCCAGGGUUGGGCAGGGCAGUUCUAGCACAGCAUGAGAACUUCGUCGGAGAAGCUAGGGAACCGAACACAGAUGCGCAGGCUCUCACCCUUGCUUGAAAGUUCCCCACAGUGAAACAGAAAACUAUUUUCUGUUUUUCUGUAGGGGACGAUCAAGUUUGAUCAUAGCAUGACUUUUCUAGAUAGAGGUCUUCCGCGGAACACAGCUGCGGGCAGGCAGCAAGUGGGAACGCUGUGGGAAAAUGGUUAUCAUUUUAUAAUCCUAGACAAUGUCCCCGGAAGCAGGGGCUGGACAUGACCUUCAGAUCACAAACUACUGUGCUAUGGCUGUGAGAAUAUGAACAGUAUUUCUGGGACAAAUAACCUUGACCUUUUUGCUGCUUCCUCCCGCUCCUGACUGGGAGGGCGGGGGUAGAACUGGCUGCCUUGCGCACUGGGAGAAGGAAGAACAGCGGCGGGGACUUCCCCAUCUGAGAAGGGCCAUUUUCUGCAGCUGGCAAAGGCCUGGCUUACCAGGCUAUCCCCACAACAAGAGUCAGCUUCCUUCUCUUCUGUGGGCUUCUUCUUGGGAGGUAGCACCAAGACACAGGAGUCCCUCAUGCCGAGGAAGGCGUCCGGUCGCUGACUCUCUGACUUUAAAAGGUGGAGUGUCCCUCGCCGCUGAGUGUUUACCAGGGUGGGGACCAGGAAGAGCAAAGGUGAGUCAGCACACAAAGGUAGGACUGUUCUCCAUUGAAACCCUACUGUCCCUCAGCGUGGGGAGGCAGGGGUGGGGUGGGGUGAAGGGGUUUGAGGGUGUUUGGGGGGCCUUGAGGGGAGCCACAGCCACUCUCACUAGUGUCUCCGUGAGCAGUUUUCUUCUCUGGUUCGUCCAGGAGCGAGAAGGAGACCAUACACAGGGUAAGUCUUGAACGCCUUUCAGACACCCAGAAGAGGGAGGCCAUGAAAUGCGUUGUGGCACAAUAGGCCUAGUGUUGGGCAGGGCCUGGCGGGGAGGGGGUGAUCAUAAAUACCUUAUCCUCUUCCAGGAAGCGUAUACUGCACAGUAUUUUUAGAGAGCAUUGUAGAAACAGGGAUCAAAAUUCUAGUCACGCAGACCAAUAUAUAAAUAGUUACUUAAAUAAAAAUAAAACUCACACUUUCUUUGUUCCAGUAAUUCUUUUUAGGAAUUUACCUUAAGAUACACCAAGUGCAUGUGCCACGAUGUACGUACAAGCCUGCUCACUGAUGCACAGUUUGUUUUGGGGAAAACUGGACACAUGGUUUGGGGCCGGAUGAGAAGAGGUCAGACCCGACAAAGGAAUUCCGGCAGUCAUUAAAAGGAAUCUGCUUCUGCUAACAUAGAAGUAUCUUCAAGACACCCAGGGUCAUGAAAACAGCAAUCGAUAUGCGGACUGAAGCAGAGAGUGACCGCAACUGUCUAAAAUUCUUUUUUUUUUUUUUAAAGAUUUUAUUUAUUUAUUUGACAGAGAGAAAUCACAAGUAGUGGGAGAGGCAGGCAGAGAGAGAGGGAAGCAGGCUCCCUGCUGAGCAGAGAGCCCGAUGCGGGACUCGAUCCCAGGACCCUGAGAUCAUGACCUGAGCCGAAGGCAGCGGCUUAACCCACUGAGCCACCCAGGCGCCCUAAAAUUCUUAAAAGACACGUGAUUAAUUGCGUUCUUGAAAGAUACACAAGGUUCCAUUGGGAAGAAAGCCUGGGGUUUUGGGAGAAGGGUAUCUUCUACUUUCCAUUUCAAACUUCUCUGCAGUUAACUUAUUAUUAUUAUUUUUUAACCAUAUUAGGCCUGCGUUAGUAAAAUAACCAAAUAAACAGACAUGUUGAAAAGGAUGCCCAUACAUUCGAGAAUUGUCUGGCGGUGGUGUUGGGUGUUGAUGGGCCUAUCCCGAAGCUGGGAUCAUCACUGUACACCUGGGUUCUGUGCCCCUUCCGGGUCUGUAAAGUAGAUUGGGAGAUGUUGCCUACAUGACAAGAUAUUAUCAUAUCUGGGAUGUUUAGCAGGUCCAUGAGCAUAACAGCAUGGCGGAUCUGAUUUCCAAAAGACCUGGGACUAGAAUACUCCCAAUGUUUCAAGUGUAUCACCCUAACAGGCAGAUAAACCAUAUUCUGAUUGUGAACAAUGGACAAUGGGGUAAGGCUCUGGCCUGUGGUUGAACAGGGCUUGUUUUUUAAUGGGAUUUUUUUUGUCCUCAUGAGUCAUAACAGGAAAGGAACAGAACUCUCUGUUGUCCUUUAAUCUUUUAAUUGACAGUCUAGGAUUUCUACCUUUUGAAGUUCUGCUAUUUGACUGCAAUGAAACACUUCUAUGGCAAAUGAUGGGGGGGGGAAAUCAACCAUAAAUAUUUGUUUCCUCUGAGCCCGGCACUGUAAACUCACACUGGGAUUGCAAUGACUUUCCACUUGAUGGAAUUCAGACCGCUCCCCCACCCCCAUUUUGGUGAUGUGAACAUGUAUGUUUGAAGCAAGCAUGUGUGGAUAUGUUGAAAUGCAGUGAAUGGAGUGCAAAGAAGUGUUUCUGGUGCAGUAGCGGGGGUGGGGAGGGAUGAGGCAGUAGGUAGCCAACAAAUCCCUUAGCGUCAGAGGAACUAACAUUUACUGAACCCAUCAACAGGUGCCGAUGUACUUUACAUGAUCUCAUUUAAUUCUCACAGCCCUGCAAGACACGAAUAUUAUAAUCCCUUUGUCCUGGGAUUGUAACGUAAUCUCUGCUUGGAGGAGCUGGUGAAGGAGAAGUACACUGGGGGUUUGGCACAUCCAGUGUGGGGAGCCCUCAAGGGAUACAGGACAUGGGCUCAUUAGUUAUCAUUCAUGUUAAAUAUAUGUGACCUGACCCAAAGUUCCAUAUUUGUGUAACAUCUCCACUUCCACGAUCUCAGUUAAUCCCUGUGACCAAGGGCCAGGACUGACUUCCUUGUCGUUCCUUCCGCUAUACCACAACUAACUUCCAACAUGAUCGCCAAGUGUAGAUAGAUGCUGGCUCCAGGAUCGGAGGGCCAGCAGUCUCCUAGCCAGGGCUGGCCCGAGUCAAUCUGGAAGCAACUAGACCAGACGUCAUUUAUCAUCUAAACAGGGACACUCUGAGCGCAGAAGAGAGUGCUGUUAAUAAAGCUGGAACAUGAGGCAUGAACUGAGGCUGUCUCAGGUUGCGCACUCUAUCUGUGACCAAGUUGAUCUCCAAAAAGUCACAGGCAGCUUUCAAAGACUGGCCCUCCCAGCCAGGAUCCUGGGCUACUUACCCACAGGUCCCCCACAAAUCCCUCAGUCUCUCAGACCCCCAGCGGCUGCUAUGAAGAUCCAGAAGAUGGAAAAAGAAUGCUAAUGGCCCCAACCCCCAAUGCCUCUCGGGGUAGCGUUGGUUUUACACAAUGACACAAUCAGAGGGCAACGUAUGGAUGGUACAUAGCAAGUGGGCAACAUUGAGUAGAGGAGGGAAAAAAGGUCUGUUAAAAAAAGAAAAACAAAAACAAA
Molecule: long non-coding RNA, 3515 nt
Organism: Mustela putorius furo (domestic ferret)
Lineage: Eukaryota; Metazoa; Chordata; Mammalia; Carnivora; Mustelidae
Source: Ensembl